CUGUUUCAAAAACAGUGGUUACUUGUUUAGAUAUGGUGGAAAUUUUGUUCCUCUGGUAUGUGCCUGCACUCAUUCAAGAAUCUUCUUCCAGUGAUGAAGACUGAAAAUACUCCAGCCUUCAAGGACCAUGAACUGAAUCUGGUCAGAAAGACCUCAUUGGAUUGCAGUUGGUAGAAUUAUACCUUAUUCUCCCCAUUCAAAGAAAAGAAAAGAAAAGAAAAAGAAAAGAAAAUUAAAAAGAGAAAAAGGAGUCCCACCAAUAGCAGGAAUGGGCAAAGUGAUACUGGUGAGCCAUGUCUAGCCCGCCAGGACUCCUUGGACUCCAUAUAUAUCUUUCCAACCUAAAAUGAAAACAGUACAGUAUCCACAAAGGAACACA
RNAcentral lists this long non-coding RNA (379 nucleotides) under Pogona vitticeps (central bearded dragon). RNAcentral's name for it is "lncRNA (ENSPVIG00000020157.1)". The record is from RNAcentral. Lineage: Eukaryota; Metazoa; Chordata; Lepidosauria; Squamata; Agamidae.